Molecule: long non-coding RNA, 180 nt
Organism: Alosa sapidissima (American shad)
Lineage: Eukaryota; Metazoa; Chordata; Actinopteri; Clupeiformes; Clupeidae
Exons: 2
Source: RefSeq, a predicted model, not a curated record
CUGUGAUCCCGGACCCGCUCGACUACUUCUGUGUUCUCCAGCCCCGGACUUCCCGGAUCAUCCAGCUCCUGCCAUCGCUGUUCGGCUACUGGGGGAACACACACACGCAGACUCUUGGAACUCCCGUACCCCCCUGAAACCCCCGUAACCCCCAUCCCUUAAAUAAACUUUUGAACGUGA